CAAUAUUUAUUAUAGACAUAUGCAUCGACAACCGCUCUUUUAAAGUUUUUAUAAAUAGAAAAGAAGAGAGGGUUGGAGAUCUCAAAUGUGGUGAUAGCACAUGGAUUUUUAAUGCCCUCUAGCCAUUGAUGUUGCUCUUCUCGAUCCUCCUUGUGGUCUUGGUGACUCUUAUGAAUGGGAUGUCUAGAGAGAUUCACAGGAUCAUCGGGAGGUUCAAGAGAAAGAGCAUACUAGAAAUUAUUAAGCUCAAGGAUG
RNAcentral lists this long non-coding RNA (255 nucleotides) under Sorghum bicolor (sorghum). Its description in RNAcentral is "long non-coding RNA (SBIC_LNC001020)". The record is from RNAcentral. Lineage: Eukaryota; Viridiplantae; Streptophyta; Magnoliopsida; Poales; Poaceae.